This 552-nucleotide ribosomal RNA is filed under the name Golovinomyces ambrosiae. RNAcentral's name for it is "partial large subunit ribosomal RNA". It matches the Rfam family "Eukaryotic large subunit ribosomal RNA", at positions 79 to 644 of the family's 3401-position model. The record is from RNAcentral. Lineage: Eukaryota; Fungi; Ascomycota; Leotiomycetes; Helotiales; Erysiphaceae.
CUCAGUAACGGCGAGUGAAGCGGUAACAGCUCAAAUUUGAAAUCUGGCUCUUCCGGAGUCCGAGUUGUAAUUUGUAGAAGAUGCUUUGGGAGGUAGGGCCGGCCUAAGUUCCUUGGAACAGGACAUCAGAGAGGGUGAGAAUCCCGUAUGUGGCCGUGGCCUACGCCCGUGUAAAGCUCUUUCGACGAGUCGAGUUGUUUGGGAAUGCAGCUCAAAAUGGGUGGUAAAUUUCAUCUAAAGCUAAAUAUUGGCCAGAGACCGAUAGCGCACAAGUAGAGUGAUCGAAAGAUGAAAAGCACUUUGGAAAGAGAGUUAAACAGUACGUGAAAUUGUUGAAAGGGAAGCGCUUGCAACCAGACUUGGGCGUCGUCGAUCAUCCGGGGUUCUCCUCGGUGCACUCGACGAGGCACAGGCCAGCAUCGGUUUGGAUGGUUGGAGAAAGGCCCUAGGAACGUAGCUCUCUUCGGGGAGUGUUAUAGCCUAGAGCGCAAUGCAGCCCAUCCGGACCGAGGACCGCGCCUUUGGCUAGGAUGCUGGCGUAAUGGUUGCAAG